CAUCUGGAAAGAUGAAUCAAAGAAGGUAAUAAUCCUGUAGUCGAAAAUGUUGUCUCUCUUGAGUGGAUCCUGAGUACGACGGAGCACGUGAAAUUCCGUCGGAAUCUGGGAGGACCAUCUCCUAAGGCUAAAUACUCUCUAGUGACCGAUAGUGAACCAGUACCGUGAGGGAAAGGUGAAAAGCACCCCGGAAGGGGAGUGAAAUAGAACCUGAAACCGUGUGCUUACAAGUAGUCAGAGCCCGUUAAUGGGUGAUGGCGUGCCUUUUGUAGAAUGAACCGGCGAGUUACGAUUUGAUGCAAGGUUAAGCAGUAAAUGUGGAGCCGUAGCGAAAGCGAGUCUGAAUAGGGCGUUUAGUAUUUGGUCGUAGACCCGAAACCAGGUGAUCUACCCUUGGUCAGGUUGAAGUUCAGGUAACACUGAAUGGAGGACCGAACCGACUUACGUUGAAAAGUGAGCGGAUGAACUGAGGGUAGCGGAGAAAUUCCAAUCGAACCUGGAGAUAGCUGGUUCUCUCCGAAAUAGCUUUAGGGCUAGCCUCAAGUGAUGAUUAUUGGAGGUAGAGCACUGUUUGGACGAGGGGCCCCUCUCGGGUUACCGAAUUCAGACAAACUCCGAAUGCCAAUUAAUUUAACUUGGGAGUCAGAACAUGGGUGAUAAGGUCCGUGUUCGAAAGGGAAACAGCCCAGACCACCAGCUAAGGUCCCAAAAUAUAUGUUAAGUGGAAAAGGAUGUGGCGUUGCCCAGACAACUAGGAUGUUGGCUUAGAAGCAGCCAUCAUUUAAAGAGUGCGUAAUAGCUCACUAGUCGAGUGACACUGCGCCGAAAAUGUACCGGGGCUAAACAUAUUACCGAAGCUGUGGAUUGUCCUUUGGACAAUGGUAGGAGAGCGUUCUAAGGGCGUUGAAGCAUGAUCGUAAGGACAUGUGGAGCGCUUAGAAGUGAGAAUGCCGGUGUGAGUAGCGAAAGACGGGUGAGAAUCCCGUCCACCGAUUGACUAAGGUUUCCAGAGGAAGGCUCGUCCGCUCUGGGUUAGUCGGGUCCUAAGCUGAGGCCGACAGGCGUAGGCGAUGGAUAACAGGUUGAUAUUCCUGUACCACCUAUAAUCGUUUUA
RNAcentral lists this ribosomal RNA (1114 nucleotides) under Staphylococcus aureus. Its description in RNAcentral is "partial 23S ribosomal RNA". It matches the Rfam family "Bacterial large subunit ribosomal RNA", at positions 339 to 1461 of the family's 2925-position model. The record is from RNAcentral. Lineage: Bacteria; Bacillati; Bacillota; Bacilli; Caryophanales; Staphylococcaceae.